RNAcentral lists this unclassified non-coding RNA (346 nucleotides) under fungal sp. Its description in RNAcentral is "partial internal transcribed spacer region". The stretch from base 1 to 46 matches the Rfam family "Eukaryotic small subunit ribosomal RNA", at positions 1786 to 1831 of the family's 1831-position model. The record is from RNAcentral. Lineage: Eukaryota; Fungi.
AAGUCGUAACAAGGUUUCCGUAGGUGAACCUGCGGAAGGAUCAUUAACACGUAUCCAACGUUAAACAACCCUGUGAACUUUCAGACGCUCUUGUAGCCCAGGCGGAACAGCAAUCCCGGUAAAUCAAUGGCGGAAAAGUUUUGAUUCGGGACCUCUGUCCAAAAGGUAGUGCAGAAGGAUCCACUGAGUAAGGAUAACGCAUCACGGUUGCCAGAGGUCGAUCACCGGCCGGCAGACAUGUCACAGGGCGCGCGCGCCCCCUCAUUCACCCCUUGCCCUCUCAAGCCUCGCGGAAACGCCGGGCAUAAAAACCGAACAACUGUUAACAAUGGAUAUCUUGGUUCUC